This 433-nucleotide ribosomal RNA is filed under the name uncultured bacterium. RNAcentral describes it as "partial 16S ribosomal RNA". It matches the Rfam family "Bacterial small subunit ribosomal RNA", at positions 29 to 507 of the family's 1533-position model. The record is from RNAcentral.
AACGAACGCUGGCGGCAUGCCUAACACAUGCAAGUCGAACGAGCCCUUCGGGUCUAGUGGCGCACGGGUGCGUAACGCGUGGGAACCUGCCCUUAGGUUCGGAAUAACUCCCCGAAAGGGGUGCUAAUACCGGAUAAUGUCUUCGGACCAAAGAUUUAUCGCCUUUGGAUGGGCCCGCGUUGGAUUAGCUAGUUGGUAGGGUAAAAGCCUACCAAGGCGACGAUCCAUAGCUGGUCUGAGAGGAUGAUCAGCCACACUGGGACUGAGACACGGCCCAGACUCCUACGCGAGGCAGCAGUGGGGAAUAUUGGACAAUGGGCGAAAGCCUGAUCCAGCAAUGCCGCGUGAGUGAUGAAGGCCUUAGGGUUGUAAAGCUCUUUUACCCGGGAUGAUAAUGACAGUACCGGGAGAAUAAGCUCCGGCUAACUCCGUG